This 492-nucleotide ribosomal RNA is filed under the name uncultured bacterium. RNAcentral's name for it is "partial 16S ribosomal RNA". It matches the Rfam family "Bacterial small subunit ribosomal RNA", at positions 29 to 507 of the family's 1533-position model. The record is from RNAcentral.
AGUGAACGCUGGCGGUAGGCCUAGCACAUGCAAGCCGAACGGCAGCACAGUAAGAGCUUGCUCUUACGGGUGGCGAGUGGCGGACGGGUGAGGAAUACAUCGGAAUCUACUUUUUCGUGGGGGAUAACGUAGGGAAACUUACGCUAAUACCGCAUACGACCUACGGGUGAAAGCAGGGGAUCUUCGGACCUUGCGCGAUUGAAUGAGCCGAUGCCGGAUUAGCUAGUUGGCGGGGUAAAGGCCCACCAAGGCGACGAUCCGUAGCUGGUCUGAGAGGAUGAUCAGCCACACUGGAACUGAGACACGGUCCAGACUCCUACGGGAGGCAGCAGUGGGGAAUAUUGGACAAUGGGCGCAAGCCUGAUCCAGCCAUACCGCGUGGGUGAAGAAGGCCUUCGGGUUGUAAAGCCCUUUUGUUGGGAAAGAAAAGCAGCAGGUUAAUACCCCGCUGUUCUGACGGUACCCAAAGAAUAAGCACCGGCUAACUUCGUG